RNAcentral lists this long non-coding RNA (534 nucleotides) under Homo sapiens (human). RNAcentral's name for it is "HSALNT0218465". The record is from RNAcentral. Lineage: Eukaryota; Metazoa; Chordata; Mammalia; Primates; Hominidae.
UUCAGAUGUUGCUUUAUAUUAGUUACCAUAAAAAUGAUAGCUGAAAUUAUGUGAAGAAAUGAGUGUAGUGACAGAAAAGGAUUAGAAAAUGUCUUCUGUAUAUUUAGUGUUCUUUCCCCCAAGUCUUGAGGCACACCCACAGUUACAUAUUUUACAUCAUAGGAAAUCUGAAGGAGUAAGAGGAUUAACAAGAAUUCGGCAAAAGUAGGAAAAGAGUGGUAAUGCCAAAAAUCUCAAGAUGAGAGGGUUUCUACAGGUGAGGAUAAUUAUAGGUGCCAGUUCUCCAGAAGAAUGACAAUGGGCAGGAUUAAAAAUAGGUUGUGGAAUUGGGCUGGAUGAUGACUAUUGGUGACCUUUUAUCAAAAAGCUGGUAACCCCCACAAGAAUUAAGUUACACUAUCCAAAUGUUUUUCAGAUUUACUUGAACCCCUAACUUGUAGUUUUCUGCUACUUUUGCUACCAUGUACGCACACACAAAGUCAAAAGCACUGAAUUCAUGUGUAGGCAUUCCAGCCAUUCUAUGUUCAGCUCUAC